GAUGAACGCUAGCUACAGGCUUAACACAUGCAAGUCGCGGGGCAGCAUGGGGGUUGCUUGCAAUCCCCGAUGGCGACCGGCGCACGGGUGAGUAACGCGUAUCCAACCUGCCCUUCACCACGGGAUAACCCGGCGAAAGUCGGACUAAUACCGUAUGUUGUCCAUUGACGGCAUCCGAUUUGGACGAAAGGUUUGGCGGUGAAGGAUGGGGAUGCGUCCGAUUAGCUGGACGGCGGGGUGACGGCCCACCGUGGCGACGAUCGGUAGGGGUUCUGAGAGGAAGGUCCCCCACACUGGAACUGAGACACGGCCCAGACUCCUACGGGAGGCAGCAGUGAGGAAUAUUGGUCAAUGGGCGUAAGCCUGAACCAGCCAAGUAGCGUGCAGGAUGACGGCCCUAUGGGUUGUAAACUGCUUUUAUGCGGGGAUAAGGUGGCCCACGUGUGGGUUUUUGCAGGUACCGCAUGAAUAAGGACCGGCUAAUUCCGU
RNAcentral lists this ribosomal RNA (489 nucleotides) under uncultured bacterium. RNAcentral's name for it is "partial 16S ribosomal RNA". It matches the Rfam family "Bacterial small subunit ribosomal RNA", at positions 28 to 506 of the family's 1533-position model. The record is from RNAcentral.